Molecule: ribosomal RNA, 468 nt
Filed under: uncultured bacterium
Lineage: Bacteria
Description: partial 16S ribosomal RNA
Rfam family: Bacterial small subunit ribosomal RNA
Source: RNAcentral
GACGAACGCUGGCGGCGUGCUUAACACAUGCAAGUCGAACGGCAAGGCCCUGCUUUUGUGGGGUGCUCGGGUGGGGAACGGGUGCGUAACACGUGAGUAACCUGCCCUUGUCUUUGGGAUAACUUCAGGAAACUGGGGCUAAUACCGGAUAGGAGCUCCUGCUGCAUGGUGGGGUUUGGAACGUUUGGGCGGUUGGGGAUGGACUCGCGGCUUAUCAGCUUGUUGGUGGGGUAGUGGCGUACCAAGGCUUUGACGGGUAGCCGGCCUGAGAGGGUGACCGGCCACAUUGGGACUGAGAUACGGCGCAGACUGCAACGGGAGGCAGUGGUGGGGAACUUUGCACAAUGGGCGGGAGCCUGAUGCAACAACGCCGCGUGCGGGAUGACGGCCUUCGGGUUGUAAACCGCUUUCGCCUGUGACGAAGCGUGAGUGACGGUAAUGGGUAAAGAAGCACCGGCUAACUACGUG